CCUGCUUCUUCUCCACCUAUUCUCCCUCACACCAAACGUCUACCACCUCACACUCACUGGAAAAACCGCCACUCUCCUUGCCGCUGCACUAGAAGCUUGAAUCCACUAGAAUCUUCAUCACUAAUUUGAUUUCUUUCCUUCUUUCAUUUGAAAAAAACUUUAUGCUAUCUAGUAAUAUUAUGUGGAGUGAAUUUUGGUUUUACAAAAUAUUUGUUUGAAAAAGUAAAGCAAGAUCGAAGAGGCGAUGAUUGGGCAUAUCUCUCGUUCUAGCUCCAAUGGUUUUUCUUUAGUAACCAUAAACCUUAAAGCUUUGUCAUCCAUGGCCAUAUCAAAACCAGUCAGAAAACUCGUUUAUAAUACCAUUUCGGAUCAAGAAUCCAGCGAUUUCAAAGCUUCGGCUGUCCGAAUCUGAGUCGAGUUUGGUUUCCAGUCGAGAGGUGCGCCGUUCGUGGAUUUUCGGCCUGUCCAGGUGUCCUGUUCCCUGGUCUUAGUCAAUAGAGGUAAGUCGAGGUCUUCGACCUUCUGCUGUAAGAUUCCUGGUUUGGCAUUUCAUAUAUGAUCGGGUUUUUGAAGGUGCUUCUGCUCACUUUCUCUGUUACUUCAUCCUUCUUAAUUUGAUGCAUGUGUUUAUGAUUUAU
Molecule: long non-coding RNA, 638 nt
Filed under: Nicotiana benthamiana
Lineage: Eukaryota; Viridiplantae; Streptophyta; Magnoliopsida; Solanales; Solanaceae
Description: long non-coding RNA (NBEN_LNC032656)
Source: RNAcentral